RNAcentral lists this ribosomal RNA (467 nucleotides) under uncultured bacterium. RNAcentral describes it as "partial 16S ribosomal RNA". It matches the Rfam family "Bacterial small subunit ribosomal RNA", at positions 28 to 506 of the family's 1533-position model. The record is from RNAcentral.
GACGAACGCUGGCGGCAUGCUUAACACAUGCCAGUCGAACGGAAAGGCCCUGCUUUUGUGGGGUGCUCGAGUGGCGAACGGGUGAGUAACACGUGAGUAACCUGCCCUUGACUUUGGGUUAACUUCAGGAAACUGGGGCUCAUACCGGAUAGGAGCUCCUGCUGCAUGGUGGGGGUUGGAAAGCUUCGGCGGUUGGGGAUGGACUCGCGGCUUAUCAGCUUGUUGGUGGGGUAGUGGCUUACCAAGGCUUUGACGGGUAGCCGGACUGAGAGGGAGACCGGCCACAUAGGGAUUGAGAGACGGCCAAGGCUCCAACGGGAGGCAGGAGGGGGAAAUAGUGCAAGAAGGGCCGAGGCCUGGUGCAGCAACGCCGGGUGCGGGAUGGCGGCUGUCGGGUUGGAAACCGCUUUCGCCUGUGACGAAGCGUGAGUAACGGUAAUGGGUAAAGAAGCACCGGCUAACUACGG